Molecule: ribosomal RNA, 200 nt
Filed under: uncultured organism
Description: partial small subunit ribosomal RNA
Rfam family: Bacterial small subunit ribosomal RNA
Source: RNAcentral
CGUCAAGUCAGCAUGGCCUUUAUGUCUGGGGCUACACACGUGCUACAAUGGCCGGUACAAACCGUCGCGAUACCGUGAGGUGGAGCUAAUCGGACAAAGCCGGUCUCAGUUCGGAUUGCAGGCUGCAACUCGCCUGCAUGAAGUUGGAAUCGCUAGUAAUCGCGGAUCAGCACGCCGCGGUGAAUACGUUCCCGGGCCUU